Molecule: long non-coding RNA, 1855 nt
Filed under: Nicotiana tabacum (common tobacco)
Lineage: Eukaryota; Viridiplantae; Streptophyta; Magnoliopsida; Solanales; Solanaceae
Description: long non-coding RNA (NTAB_LNC015952)
Source: RNAcentral
GAGAUUGCUUCGCCUUAUGGCCACUCACAUACAAAACGGCAAAGAUAAAAAAGCAGGUUUCAACAUUUAUUGAGAUCCAUUAACUAGUAUAUUUUUGACCUAAAUGAUAAACAAUCAGAAAGAGAGAGAGAGAGAGAGAGGAGAGCAUUUCAGCAAUUGAAUGUCCAUUUUCAAGAAAUCAAAUCUACUACAUUUAUACGAAAACAACCAAGUAUCACAUGGAAAGCUCAUUCAUUAUACACAUUGGUUGCAAAUUCACUGAUGCUACAUAAUCUCAACAUAAAAAGUACAUGAGAGGAGGAGGGAUUAAUAUCUUGUAGCAGCAAAAACAAGUAGUAAACAGGGAGGAAAUACUAAUUAGAACUUUGAAGAAAGAACAUCCAACAAAACCCAGCAGCAGCAACCCAAAAUACUACCCAUAAAUUCAACCAAAGAUCUAGCUUUAAACUAGAAAAUCCCAGUAGAAGAAACUAGUUUUUUAGAGUAUUUUUGUGUUCAUCUUGGUAUUUUGCAAAAUCAAUAUCUAUUUAGAGCAGUAUAUAUGUGUUUCCAGAACUUUUUGUGCAGAGAAUGCUAAUGAUUGACUGUGUGAAUGAGGAAAUGUUUUCCUUUUAUAGAGUGUUUUAAAAUGGCAUCAAAAGAGCAUAUUCUAACCUAAAUUCUGAAUUUUCAAGAUAGUACAACAUCUUCAUAGAGGAUAAAAUGUCCAGCUGUCCAUUUUAUUUUCAGCAUCUUUUAAAACUAAUUUGGACAGCUGGUACACUUCUAGAACUUUCUUUCUUUAGAUAUUUUAUUUUUAAUAGAGUUCUGCAAUCCCCCUAAGUUUCCUUUUAGUUUAGUUAGGUCCCCAUAAGAUCUAACGACUUACAAAUCAGGGCAAACACAAAUGGGCAUGCUAAUGCAAAUCAAACAACAGGACAUUGAAUUUCUGGACACUUAAAAACCUAAAAAUGAGCUAAUUUCAUAAUGAGCUUCUGGUUUAAACAUACAUAAAACCUAAUUCUACAACCAAAUGUUAUACCAAUCAAAUCAAAUUUAAAAGAUGAAUCAGUGAAGCAUGAACCAGUAUGAAGCAUUCUAAUCAAAUCAGAACACAAAAAUAAGAAGAACAAGAAAAUCAUAGCAUGAAAAAGAAAACGAUACAAGGAUCCUAAAAUUUAAUUCAUAUUAACCAAAAAUAAGAAGGAAAACAGAGAUUUAGAGAAACUUAAUCAAAUAAUUUUUUCAUUUUCUUUUGUUUUCAAACAGUGUGGACUAAAACACAAGUAAAAUAGAAAUAGGGCGAGGAAACAAAGGGAAAAGCAAUACCUAAUGAGGUUCAGGAAUGAAGGAAUUGACCCCGUACGCGGACAAGGCUGGCCAGGCUCCGAAUGCUUCGAGGUGGGUCCAAAUUACACUAAGCAAUCGUUCUUGUUAGUAAUGAUUAGUUAAUGUCAAUUUUGUCUCAAUUUGUACCUUGAAACUCGAGGAACCAGAAGAAAAUUUGGCAAAAAUGAGUAAGCUAGGGUUUUCUGGAAUUUGAAGAAAUUAAAAGGGGAAUUUAGGAGCAAUGGUGGUGGGAUGGUAGUGAGGGAAGACUGUGGGUUACGUGGUGUGAUGUUCAUCGUCUUUCAGGUGUUUUAGGGUUUGAGGUCGGAGUCUCAGAUCUGAAAUUGGAGCGGUUUGAGAAAGAUUCGAAAGAAUUGGUUUGGGGAUUUGGAAAGGGGAGGGGACAGGGGUUGACUGGUCAAAAUUUAGGGAGAUUUGGAGUGUUUCCACCGCCAUGGAGCGAUUUCCAGCGGUGGAGCACGGCGGAGCCGGUGAGGGAACAAGGGGGCGGCUAUGGUUUCAAAAAGAAAUGGGGAUGAAUGUGAAA